RNAcentral lists this ribosomal RNA (696 nucleotides) under uncultured bacterium. RNAcentral's name for it is "bacterial SSU rRNA". It matches the Rfam family "Bacterial small subunit ribosomal RNA", at positions 64 to 775 of the family's 1533-position model. The record is from RNAcentral.
GAACGGUGAACCUCCUUCGGGAGGGGAUCAGUGGCGAACGGGUGAGUAACACGUGAGCAACCUGCCCCAGACUCUGGGAUAACUCCGGGAAACCGGUGCUAAUACCGGAUACGAGACGCUCAGGCAUCUGAUGCGUCUGGAAAGUUUUUCGGUCUGGGAUGGGCUCGCGGCCUAUCAGCUUGUUGGUGGGGUAACGGCCCACCAAGGCGACGACGGGUAGCCGGCCUGAGAGGGCGACCGGCCACACUGGGACUGAGACACGGCCCAGACUCCUACGGGAGGCAGCAGUGGGGAAUAUUGCGCAAUGGGCGAAAGCCUGACGCAGCGACGCCGCGUGAGGGACGAAGGCCUUCGGGUUGUAAACCUCUUUCAGCAGGGAAGAAGCGAAAGUGACGGUACCUGCAGAAGAAGCACCGGCUAACUACGUGCCAGCAGCCGCGGUAAUACGUAGGGUGCAAGCGUUGUCCGGAAUUAUUGGGCGUAAAGAGCUCGUAGGCGGUCUGUCGCGUCUGCCGUGAAAACUCGGGGCUCAACCCCGGGCCUGCGGUGGGUACGGGCAGACUAGAGUGCGGUAGGGGAGACUGGAAUUCCUGGUGUAGCGGUGAAAUGCGCAGAUAUCAGGAGGAACACCGGUGGCGAAGGCGGGUCUCUGGGCCGUAACUGACGCUGAGGAGCGAAAGCGUGGGGAGCGAACAG